AUGCCCUACGGGGCGCAGCAGUGAGGAAUAUUGGUCAAUGGGCGGAAGCCUGAACCAGCCAAGUCGCGUGAGGGAUUAAGGCCCUGCGGGUCGUAAACCUCUUUUGCCGGGGAGCAGAGGUCCGGACGUGUCCGGGCCGGGAGAGUACCCGGAGAAAAAGCAUCGGCUAACUCCGUGCCAGCAGCCGCGGUAAUACGGAGGAUGCGAGCGUUAUCCGGAUUUAUUGGGUUUAAAGGGUGCGUAGGCGGGCAUUUAAGCCGGCGGUCAAAUUUCGGGGCUUAACCCCGGGCUUGCGUCGGAACUGG
This 305-nucleotide ribosomal RNA is filed under the name uncultured bacterium. RNAcentral describes it as "bacterial SSU rRNA". It matches the Rfam family "Bacterial small subunit ribosomal RNA", at positions 334 to 636 of the family's 1533-position model. The record is from RNAcentral.